CACUUCCCCUGGAGCCUAACACUGGCUGCUUAUUGAGUCUGUCAGCAUUUCCUCCGUGGAGCUCAGACUGACUAAUUAGUCUUCCCCUCCUGAUGACUGAAGCCACAGGGCAUAGACAGGCCAGCACUUCUCCACAAGGCAUCUGCUGAGGAAAGGCACGGCCGAGCCCUUAGGCUGGUCUUGUCAACUCUGCGUCUCUGGCUUUGCAGGAUGUGGAUUUUGGAUGAGCUGGAAAUAGAACCAUUUCCUUCUAGCUCGGAGUUGCAGGGAGAGAAGGUAUGAUACAAAAGAAUUU
Molecule: long non-coding RNA, 295 nt
Filed under: Bos indicus x Bos taurus (hybrid cattle)
Lineage: Eukaryota; Metazoa; Chordata; Mammalia; Artiodactyla; Bovidae
Description: lncRNA (ENSBIXG00000011816.1)
Source: RNAcentral